UUUGUAGGCUGAAAAGUUG
Molecule: microRNA, 19 nt
Filed under: Corchorus olitorius
Lineage: Eukaryota; Viridiplantae; Streptophyta; Magnoliopsida; Malvales; Malvaceae
Description: cin-miR-4024-
Source: RNAcentral